AUGGAGUAUAUUGUAAAGGUACAGACAGAGGUGGUUUUUCUUCCAGGUCUGCAUCGCAAUCAAUCACAACUUGUUUUGCGUGUCCUCCUCUCUAACACCCUCCGCUUACUUCUCUCUCUGCUCAUGCAAGCCGGUGGAAGCAUCCUACAUAGGGGAUUAAGGUCUCAUUUCAAUUCGUACAUGCUCUUAUUCCCCCUUCAGAAGGGCGCUCUCCAGGGAGUAUUGGACAACGGGGAAGAGAUUGCCCUGAAGAAGCUUACUCACAUAGGGCCUGAAGACACGAAAUUUGCAGAUGAGUUCAAUAACAUUAUUAGGGCCCAUCAUCAAAAUAUCAUACAGUAUGUUGGCUACUGCUAUCAUCCAGGCAACUGGAUGAAGCUCGAUGAAAAAUAUAUCUUUGCUCAUGAGCCAAUAAGAAUUCUCUGCUUUGAAUAUUUGCAUGGUGGAGACCUUGAGAGGCACCUUUCUGCAAAUAUACUGCUGGACAACAACAUGAUGCCGAAAAUAGGAGAUUUUGGUAUAUCAAGAAUCUUCCCUUCAGCAAAAACCAUUACCACGGCAACAGGAACAUUGAUAGGGACAAUGGGAUUCAUGCCACCGGAAUAUAUUAACGAAAACAUAAUCUCACAAAAAUAUGAUGUGUUCAGUUUGGGUGCCGUAAUCCUACAAAUAAUGGCAGGACGCCAGAGUUAUCGCGAUUGUGGACGUGAUCCUUCUGAAACAUUCAUUGAGCUUGUAUGUGAAAAAUGGCGAAAAAAGCUACAUCCAACAAUGUCACCACACCCAUGCCAACAAGUUAAUGCAUGCAUUGGAAUAGCUUUAAGAUGUCUCGAGGAUGACCGACAGAAAAGGCCCACCACAAGGGAGAUAGCCACUGAGCUUAAUAGGAUUGAUAUGGGAAACUUAUCACUGACGGAGGAGGUCGUCAAUGAACUUAAUCUGAUUGAUACUGAAUUUUGUUCACUUACAGAUAAGGCUACUAACUUACAAAGCAGGGUGGCAUUGGCCUAUAACCAUUACAAGAACUCAGAAAAUAUACAUCCAAUGGAUCCUGCAGGCGUGGUGCAAGCAGUGACGGGUUGGGUGAGGCGCACCCAGAGCCGGGGUUGA
RNAcentral lists this ribosomal RNA (1110 nucleotides) under Triticum aestivum (bread wheat). RNAcentral describes it as "partial small subunit ribosomal RNA". The record is from RNAcentral. Lineage: Eukaryota; Viridiplantae; Streptophyta; Magnoliopsida; Poales; Poaceae.